GGUUAAGCGACUAAGCGUACACGGUGGAUGCCCUGGCAGUCAGAGGCGAUGAAGGACGUGCUAAUCUGCGAUAAGCGUCGGUAAGGUGAUAUGAACCGUUAUAACCGGCGAUUUCCGAAUGGGGAAACCCAGUGUGUUUCGACACACUAUCAUUAACUGAAUCCAUAGGUUAAUGAGGCGAACCGGGGGAACUGAAACAUCUAAGUACCCCGAGGAAAAGAAAUCAACCGAGAUUCCCCCAGUAGCGGCGAGCGAACGGGGAGCAGCCCAGAGUCUGAAUCAGUGUGUGUGUUAGUGGAAGCGUCUGGAAAGGCGCGCGAUACAGGGUGACAGCCCCGUACACAAAAAUGCACAUGCUGUGAGCUCGAUGAGUAGGGCGGGACACGUGGUAUCCUGUCUGAAUAUGGGGGGACCAUCCUCCAAGGCUAAAUACUCCUGACUGACCGAUAGUGAACCAGUACCGUGAGGGAAAGGCGAAAAGAACCCCGGCGAGGGGAGUGAAAAAGAACCUGAAACCGUGUACGUACAAGCAGUGGGAGCCUCUUUAUGGGGUGACUGCGUACCUUUUGUAUAAUGGGUCAGCGACUUAUAUUCUGUAGCAAGGUUAACCGAAUAGGGGAGCCGAAGGGAAACCGAGUCUUAACUGGGCGUUAAGUUGCAGGGUAUAGACCCGAAACCCGGUGAUCUAGCCAUGGGCAGGUUGAAGGUUGGGUAACACUAACUGGAGGACCGAACCGACUAAUGUUGAAAAAUUAGCGGAUGACUUGUGGCUGGGGGUGAAAGGCCAAUCAAACCGGGAGAUAGCUGGUUCUCCCCGAAAGCUAUUUAGGUAGCGCCUCGUGAAUUCAUCUCCGGGGGUAGAGCACUGUUUCGGCAAGGGGGUCAUCCCGACUUACCAACCCGAUGCAAACUGCGAAUACCGGAGAAUGUUAUCACGGGAGACACACGGCGGGUGCUAACGUCCGUCGUGAAGAGGGAAACAACCCAGACCGCCAGCUAAGGUCCCAAAGUCAUGGUUAAGUGGGAAACGAUGUGGGAAGGCCCAGACAGCCAGGAUGUUGGCUUAGAAGCAGCCAUCAUUUAAAGAAAGCGUAAUAGCUCACUGGUCGAGUCGGCCUGCGCGGAAGAUGUAACGGGGCUAAACCAUGCACCGAAGCUGCGGCAGCGACGCUGAUGCGUUGUUGGGUAGGGGAGCGUUCUGUAAGCCUGCGAAGGUGUGCUGUGAGGCAUGCUGGAGGUAUCAGAAGUGCGAAUGCUGACAUAAGUAACGAUAAAGCGGGUGAAAAGCCCGCUCGCCGGAAGACCAAGGGUUCCUGUCCAACGUUAAUCGGGGCAGGGUGAGUCGACCCCUAAGGCGAGGCCGAAAGGCGUAGUCGAUGGGAAACAGGUUAAUAUUCCUGUACUUGGUGUUACUGCGAAGGGGGGACGGAGAAGGCUAUGUUGGCCGGGCGACGGUUGUCCCGGUUUAAGCGUGUAGGCUGGUUUUCCAGGCAAAUCCGGAAAAUCAAGGCUGAGGCGUGAUGACGAGGCACUACGGUGCUGAAGCAACAAAUGCCCUGCUUCCAGGAAAAGCCUCUAAGCAUCAGGUAACAUCAAAUCGUACCCCAAACCGACACAGGUGGUCAGGUAGAGAAUACCAAGGCGCUUGAGAGAACUCGGGUGAAGGAACUAGGCAAAAUGGUGCCGUAACUUCGGGAGAAGGCACGCUGAUAUGUAGGUGAAGCGACUUGCUCGUGGAGCUGAAAUCAGUCGAAGAUACCAGCUGGCUGCAACUGUUUAUUAAAAACACAGCACUGUGCAAACACGAAAGUGGACGUAUACGGUGUGACGCCUGCCCGGUGCCGGAAGGUUAAUUGAUGGGGUCAGCGCAAGCGAAGCUCUUGAUCGAAGCCCCGGUAAACGGCGGCCGUAACUAUAACGGUCCUAAGGUAGCGAAAUUCCUUGUCGGGUAAGUUCCGACCUGCACGAAUGGCGUAAUGAUGGCCAGGCUGUCUCCACCCGAGACUCAGUGAAAUUGAACUCGCUGUGAAGAUGCAGUGUACCCGCGGCAAGACGGAAAGACCCCGUGAACCUUUACUAUAGCUUGACACUGAACAUUGAGCCUUGAUGUGUAGGAUAGGUGGGAGGCUUAGAAGUGUGGACGCCAGUCUGCAUGGAGCCGACCUUGAAAUACCACCCUUUAAUGUUUGAUGUUCUAACGUUGACCCGUAAUCCGGGUUGCGGACAGUGUCUGGUGGGUAGUUUGACUGGGGCGGUCUCCUCCUAAAGAGUAACGGAGGAGCACGAAGGUUGGCUAAUCCUGGUCGGACAUCAGGAGGUUAGUGCAAUGGCAUAAGCCAGCUUGACUGCGAGCGUGACGGCGCGAGCAGGUGCGAAAGCAGGUCAUAGUGAUCCGGUGGUUCUGAAUGGAAGGGCCAUCGCUCAACGGAUAAAAGGUACUCCGGGGAUAACAGGCUGAUACCGCCCAAGAGUUCAUAUCGACGGCGGUGUUUGGCACCUCGAUGUCGGCUCAUCACAUCCUGGGGCUGAAGUAGGUCCCAAGGGUAUGGCUGUUCGCCAUUUAAAGUGGUACGCGAGCUGGGUUUAGAACGUCGUGAGACAGUUCGGUCCCUAUCUGCCGUGGGCGCUGGAGAACUGAGGGGGGCUGCUCCUAGUACGAGAGGACCGGAGUGGACGCAUCACUGGUGUUCGGGUUGUCAUGCCAAUGGCACUGCCCGGUAGCUAAAUGCGGAAGAGAUAAGUGCUGAAAGCAUCUAAGCACGAAACUUGCCCCGAGAUGAGUUCUCCCUGACUCCUUGAGAGUCCUGAAGGAACGUUGAAGACGACGACGUUGAUAGGCCGGGUGUGUAAGCGCAGCGAUGCGUUGAGCUAACCGGUACUAAUGAACCGUGAGGCUUAACCUU
This 2903-nucleotide ribosomal RNA is filed under the name Escherichia coli. RNAcentral describes it as "23S ribosomal RNA". It matches the Rfam family "Bacterial large subunit ribosomal RNA". The record is from RNAcentral. Lineage: Bacteria; Pseudomonadati; Pseudomonadota; Gammaproteobacteria; Enterobacterales; Enterobacteriaceae.